Small nucleolar RNA from Humulus lupulus (European hop), 163 nucleotides. RefSeq annotates it as small nucleolar RNA snoR127. The transcript has a single exon. Lineage: Eukaryota; Viridiplantae; Streptophyta; Magnoliopsida; Rosales; Cannabaceae. The record is from RefSeq and is a predicted model, not a curated record.
UUGGAAUGAUGCAACUUAGCCAAAUCAGACAUUGAUGUGCUCCAAUAAGCAUGUUCUUCUAAGCUUGUUCUUUAAAACUUGAGCAAGCUUUGGAUUUAGGUGCCUUUUGUAGAAGCGCAUUCCUCUGGUGAUAAAUUAGAGAAAUGGUUCUUCGCUGACCAAA